Molecule: ribosomal RNA, 883 nt
Filed under: uncultured Neocallimastigales
Lineage: Eukaryota; Fungi; Neocallimastigomycota; Neocallimastigomycetes; Neocallimastigales
Description: partial large subunit ribosomal RNA
Rfam family: Eukaryotic large subunit ribosomal RNA (bases 96-883)
Source: RNAcentral
CUAUACAUGACUCUGCGCAUAUCAAUAAGCGGAGGAAAAGCGCAUUAAGAGAUCCAGAUACCUACGCUUAGGAUGUUGACAGCAGUAUAGACUGUCGAUCUCAUCUAUACAUGACUCUGCGCAUAUCAAUAAGCGAGGAAAAGAAACUAACAAGGAUUCCCCUAGUAACGGCGAGUGAAGCGGGAAGAGCUCAAAUUUGAAAUCUUAAAGGGUUUCCCUUGACGAAUUGUAGUUUAAAGAAGUGUUUUCUGUUGAAGGUUUUGGUAAAAGUUCUUUGGAAUAGGUCAUCAUAGAGGGUGAGAAUCCCGUAUUUGACCUUUACUUUUCAGCUUUGUGAUACACUUUCAAAGAGUCGGAUUGUUUGGGAAUGCAGUCCAAAAUGGGUGGUAAAUUUCAUCUAAAGCUAAAUAUUGGCGAGGAGACCGAUAGCGAACAAGUACCGUGAGGGAAAGAUGAAAAGAACUUUGAAAAGAGAGUUAAACAGUACGUGAAAUUGUCAGAAAGGGAAGCGUUUGACACCAGUGUUGUUUUUCUGAAAAUCAAUUAAAGAACUAGUUUAUAGCUAAGUUGUUUAGACUUUAUCAGCUAACUGUUUAGUUUUGAGCUUUUCUUUAAUGCACUUUUCAGUUAACAAGUCAACAUCAAUUUCUUUUGCUGUAAAAAAGCUUGAGGAAGGUGGCUUGAGAUUCGUCUUAAGUGUUUAUAGCCUCUUGCCUAUGCAGUCGGAGAGAUUGAGGUCUGCAGCGUAGAUCCUUCGGGGCUAAAUGCAUUUGUGCUAAGUUAUAGCAUUUUAUAGACAACUUGUUGACUAUGAUUUGUCUUGUAGCUUACUCGCUUAUGUUAUUUUACCUACGCUUAGGAUGUUGACAGCAGUAUAGACUGU